UACGUAGGUCCCGAGCGUUGUCCGGAUUUAUUGGGCGUAAAGCGAGCGCAGGUGGUUUAUUAAGUCUGGUGUAAAAGGCAGUGGCUCAACCAUUGUACGCAUUGGAAACCGGUAGACUUGAGUGCAGGAGAGGAGAGUGGAAUUCCAUGUGUAGCGGUGAAAUGCGUAGAUAUAUGGAGGAACACCGGUGGCGAAAGCGGCUCUCUGGCCUGUAACUGACACUGAGGCUCGAAAGCGUGGGGAGCAAACAGG
Molecule: ribosomal RNA, 252 nt
Filed under: uncultured bacterium
Lineage: Bacteria
Description: partial 16S ribosomal RNA
Rfam family: Bacterial small subunit ribosomal RNA
Source: RNAcentral